Molecule: microRNA precursor, 196 nt
Organism: Prunus persica (peach)
Lineage: Eukaryota; Viridiplantae; Streptophyta; Magnoliopsida; Rosales; Rosaceae
Rfam family: MIR159 microRNA precursor family
Source: Rfam
AGGGUUAGUUGGGAGCUUCCUUUGGUCCAAAACCAGGAGGGAGAGAUGGUUUACGCUGCUGCUGGUUCAUGGAUACCUCUGGGGUGCGCACGUUAUGAAACUGAAGUGCGCAGCUUAAGGGUUUGCAUGACCUAGGAGAUGUGAUUGCCUUCUCCUCUCCUUACUUGGAUUGAAGGGAGCUCCAUAUUGGCCUCUC